This 253-nucleotide ribosomal RNA is filed under the name uncultured bacterium. Its description in RNAcentral is "partial 16S ribosomal RNA". It matches the Rfam family "Bacterial small subunit ribosomal RNA", at positions 524 to 776 of the family's 1533-position model. The record is from RNAcentral.
UACAGAGGUCUCAAGCGUUGUUCGGAUUCAUUGGGCGUAAAGGGCGCGUAGGCGGCGGGGCAAGUCGGGUGUGAAAUCUCAGAGCUCAACUCUGAAACUGCACUCGAUACUGCUUUGCUUGAGGACUGGAGAGGAGAUUGGAAUUCACGGUGUAGCGGUGAAAUGCGUAGAUAUCGUGAGGAAGGCCAGUGGCGAAGGCGGAUCUCUGGACAGUUCCUGACGCUGAGGCGCGAAGGCCAGGGGAGCAAACGGG